GGUACGCCUGCCAGUGAAUAUUUCAACGGCCGCGGUAUCCUAACCGUGCAAAGGUAGCGUAAUCACUUGUCCCCUAAAUAGGGACCAGUAUGAACGGCUAAAUGAGGACUAAUCUGUCUCCUUUGACUAACCAGUGAAACUGAUCUUUCGGUUAAAAAGCCGAAAUAAACACAUAAGACGAGAAGACCCUGUGGAGCUUUAAAUUAUAACCAAAAUGCCAACACAACACAACACGCCACAUAAUGGCCAAAAAUUUUAAGUUGGGGCGACUUCGGAAAAAAACAAAACUUCCGAGCAUAGAGAGCACCUCUAAUCGAGACUGACAAGUCAAAACAACCAUUGACCCAGUACUACUGAUUAACGAACCAAGUUACCCCAGGGAUAACAGCGCUAUCUUCUUCGAGAGUCCAUAUCGACAAGAAGGUUUACGACCUCGAUGUUGGAUCAGGACACCCAAAUGGUGCAGCAGCUAUUAAAGGUUCGUUUGUUCAACGAUUAAUAGUCCU
Molecule: ribosomal RNA, 506 nt
Filed under: Chalarodon madagascariensis (Madagascar iguana)
Lineage: Eukaryota; Metazoa; Chordata; Lepidosauria; Squamata
Description: partial 16S ribosomal RNA
Rfam family: Bacterial large subunit ribosomal RNA
Source: RNAcentral